Molecule: ribosomal RNA, 498 nt
Filed under: uncultured bacterium
Lineage: Bacteria
Description: bacterial SSU rRNA
Rfam family: Bacterial small subunit ribosomal RNA
Source: RNAcentral
GGCUCAGGAUGAACGCUAGCUACAGGCUUAACACAUGCAAGUCGAGGGGCAGCAUGGGAGAGCUUGCUCUUCCAGGAUGACGACCGGCGCACGGGUGAGUAACGCGUAUCCAACCUGGCCCAUACCACGGGGAUAGCCCGUCGAAAGGCGGAUUAAUACCGUAUGCUGUCAUUAAGAUGCAUAUAUUGAUGACGAAAGGACUGGCGGUAUGGGAUGGGGAUGCGUCUGAUUAGCUUGUUGGCGGGGUAACGGCCCACCAAGGCUACGAUCAGUAGGGGUUCUGAGAGGAAGGUCCCCCACAUUGGAACUGAGACACGGUCCAAACUCCUACGGGAGGCAGCAGUGAGGAAUAUUGGUCAAUGGGCGAGAGCCUGAACCAGCCAAGUAGCGUGCAGGACGACGGCCCUAUGGGUUGUAAACUGCUUUUAUAAGGGAAUAAAGUGGGUCACGUGUGACUUUUUGCAUGUACCUUAUGAAUAAGGACCGGCUAAUUCCGUG